ACCCCACUUCUUUCUCUUCUCUCUCACUACCCAUCUUUCACACAUAUAUAUUUCACAUUACAAAAAUUUACUCAAGAAAACUUAGGCGUGGAAAUCAAACAAGCCAAUUUCUUUAAUUUCCUUUAUUUUUCCAACACAACUGUAAGUAUAUAUGCACUGUUAGUUAUGCUGCACUUUUGAAAAAUAUGUUUAUGGGUCCAUAUGUAUGUUCUAAGUUUCAGAUCGAAGUUUAGUAGUGGUACGCACGUAAAAUUCAUACCACCUAAGUUAGGUAUAAUUUUUGUGUCUCCUUUAUGCAAGUUCUAUGAUUUCAAAAGUCAUGUGAUUAUAAAUUUAUAAACACGUAUAUGCUUAUUGAAAUUUUCUAACCCUUAAGUUUUGCCCUUUUCAGGUAACUAAGCAUGGGAAGAUUGGAGCUUGGACUUGGUCGUCGUGAUGGGAAUAAAUCUGAAGUUUCUAUAAAUUUCCUUUCAAAUAGAAAUUUUUAAGUUCAUAAACAAGUUGUAAUUUUUUUUUAAGUUGACUUUCUUAAUGUAUGAAAUGAAU
Molecule: long non-coding RNA, 546 nt
Filed under: Olea europaea (common olive)
Lineage: Eukaryota; Viridiplantae; Streptophyta; Magnoliopsida; Lamiales; Oleaceae
Description: long non-coding RNA (OEUR_LNC003135)
Source: RNAcentral